Molecule: ribosomal RNA, 464 nt
Filed under: Streptococcus sp. oral taxon 071
Lineage: Bacteria; Bacillati; Bacillota; Bacilli; Lactobacillales; Streptococcaceae
Description: bacterial SSU rRNA
Rfam family: Bacterial small subunit ribosomal RNA
Source: RNAcentral
GACGAACGCUGGCGGCGUGCCUAAUACAUGCAAGUAGAACGCCGAAGAGAGGAGCUUGCUCUUCUUGGAUGAGUUGCGAACGGGUGAGUAACGCGUAGGUAACCUGCCUGGUAGCGGGGGAUAACUAUUGGAAACGAUAGCUAAUACCGCAUAAAAUGGAUUAUCGCAUGAUAAUCCAUUGAAAGGUGCAAAUGCAUCACUACCAGAUGGACCUGCGUUGUAUCAGCUAGUUGGUGGGGUAACGGCUCACCAAGGCGACGAUACAUAGCCGACCUGAGAGGGUGAUCGGCCACACUGGGACUGAGACACGGCCCAGACUCCUACGGGAGGCAGCAGUAGGGAAUCUUCGGCAAUGGACGGAAGUCUGACCGAGCAACGCCGCGUGAGUGAAGAAGGUUUUCGGAUCGUAAAGCUCUGUUGUAAGAGAAGAACGAGUGUGAGAGUGGAAAGUUCACACUGUGACG